GCGACAUCUAUGCGUCAAUGUAGAAGCUCUGGAUAAACGACAUACCGACCCAUACAGUAGGCGUCAUAACCUCGAUAGAAUCUUGAAGAUAUCCUAAAAAGCAAGAAGAAAACGACAAUGCGUUCAUCGUGGGAAUGAAAAUUAUGAACUUACCUACGUGCACAGUCUUCAGUUAUAUUAGAAGAGAGUUUGAUUACCGUAAUGAAAUCUUUCAGGUACUUUAUCUCUCCAUUAAGAAUAAAAUGACUAUAAAUAAUA
RNAcentral lists this long non-coding RNA (258 nucleotides) under Polistes fuscatus (common paper wasp). RNAcentral describes it as "uncharacterized LOC122515059". The record is from RNAcentral. Lineage: Eukaryota; Metazoa; Arthropoda; Insecta; Hymenoptera; Vespidae.